This 86-nucleotide non-coding RNA is filed under the name Actinomycetota bacterium. RNAcentral's name for it is "Actinobacteria bacterium c-di-GMP sequence". It matches the Rfam family "c-di-GMP-I riboswitch aptamer". Rfam says of the family: GEMM was predicted in a large-scale screen for bacterial structured RNA regulatory elements. Genes associated with GEMM are involved in a diverse array of functions, including chemotaxis regulation, signal transduction, secretion and chitin. The record is from RNAcentral. Lineage: Bacteria; Bacillati; Actinomycetota.
AGCUGAUAAAGGUAAACUAUCCGAAAGGAUAGGACGCAAAGCCAUGGGCCUAAAGCACUUCAAAGAGCUAAAGGAUGGUCUCAACA